GACGAACGCUGGCGGCGUGCUUAACACAUGCAAGUCGAACGGUAAGGCCCUUCGGGGUACACGAGUGGCGAACGGGUGAGUAACACGUGGGUGAUCUGCCCUGCACUUCGGGAUAAGCCUGGGAAACUGGGUCUAAUACCGGAUAGGACUCCGGACUGCAUGGUCUGGGGUGGAAAGCUUUUGCGGUGUGGGAAGGGCCCGCGGCCUAUCAGCUUGUGGGUGGGGUGAUGGACUACCAAGGCGACGACGGGUAGCCGGCCUGAGAGGGUGACCGGCCCAACUGGGGCUGAGAUACGGCGCAGACUCCUACGGGAGGCAGCAGUGGGGAAUAUUGCACAAUGGGCGCAAGCCUGAUGCAGCGACGCCGCGUGAGGGAUGACGGCCUGCGGGUUGUGAACCUCUUUCAGCAUCGACGAAGCGAAAGUGACGGUAGGUGCAGAAGAAGGACCGGCCAACUACGUGCCAGCAGCCGCCGUAA
RNAcentral lists this ribosomal RNA (478 nucleotides) under uncultured bacterium. RNAcentral describes it as "partial 16S ribosomal RNA". It matches the Rfam family "Bacterial small subunit ribosomal RNA", at positions 28 to 523 of the family's 1533-position model. The record is from RNAcentral.